CCAUCUGAUUACCGAAGUCAAGCAACGUCGAGCCUGGUCAGUACAUAGCUGGGUGACCGCUUGUGAAUACUAAGUGCUGUAAU
This is a non-coding RNA of Acanthosepion pharaonis, 83 nucleotides long. NCBI's taxonomy places the organism in Eukaryota, Metazoa, Mollusca, Cephalopoda, Sepiida, Sepiidae. The record is from the annotation of a GenBank genome assembly.